GUUUGUGAACAUUUUUUUUGUGUGUGUCUCUUAAAUAUUUGCCAAGACUAAAAAUGAAAAGCAACAUGCUGGAGAGACCGGGAUUGCACUUCUCUGUGAGACCCGAUGGGAAGCAGAUCACAGAACUUGUCACGGGAUGCUGUAUGGAUAGGAAGGAAUGAUGCUGGAGUCCUGGACAGAGAGACAUUCUAUUAUAUAGAAGAAUGGUGAUCAAGAAAUGGAUCUUCCCUUGCAAUCUAACUGGAAUUAUUUGCCAGAGCACAGGGAUGAAAGUCAGAAUAAAUGACCUUAAUGUAAUCUGAGG
This 304-nucleotide long non-coding RNA is filed under the name Mus spicilegus (steppe mouse). Its description in RNAcentral is "lncRNA (ENSMSIG00000026445.1)". The record is from RNAcentral. Lineage: Eukaryota; Metazoa; Chordata; Mammalia; Rodentia; Muridae.